UGCGGGGUGGAGCAGUGGUAGCUCGCCAGGCUCAUAACCUGAAGGCCGUAGGUUCGAUUCCUACCCCCGCUACCA
RNAcentral lists this transfer RNA (75 nucleotides) under Lentisphaerota bacterium. RNAcentral describes it as "Lentisphaerae bacterium (anaerobic digester metagenome) tRNA-Met". It matches the Rfam family "tRNA". From Rfam's summary of the family: Transfer RNA (tRNA) molecules are approximately 80 nucleotides in length. Their secondary structure includes four short double-helical elements and three loops (D, anti-codon, and T loops). Further hydrogen bonds mediate the characteristic L-shaped molecular structure. tRNAs have two regions of fundamental functional importance: the anti-codon, which is responsible for specific mRNA codon recognition, and the 3' end, to which the tRNAs corresponding amino acid is attached (by aminoacyl-tRNA synthetases). tRNAs cope with the degeneracy of the genetic code in two manners: having more than one tRNA (with a specific anti-codon) for a particular amino acid; and 'wobble' base-pairing, i.e. permitting non-standard base-pairing at the 3rd anti-codon position. The record is from RNAcentral. Lineage: Bacteria; Pseudomonadati; Lentisphaerota.